GAUGAAGAACGUAGCGAAAUGCGAUAAGUAGUGUGAAUUGCAGAAUUCAGUGAAUCAUCGAAUCUUUGAACGCACAUUGCGCCUCCUGGUAUUCCGGGAGGCAUGCCUGUUCGAGCGUCAUUACAACCCUCAGGCCCCCGGGCCUGGCGUUGGGGAUCGGCGGAGCCCCCCGUGGGCACACGCCGUCCCCCAAAUGCAGUGGCGGUCCCGCCGCAGCUUCCAUCGCGUAGUAGCUAACACCUCGCGACUGGAGAGCGGCGCGGCCACGCCGUAAAACACCCGACUCUUCUGAAGUUGACCUCGAAUCAGGUAGGAAUACCCGCUGAACUUAAGCAUAUCAAUAAGCGGAGGA
This 352-nucleotide unclassified non-coding RNA is filed under the name soil metagenome. RNAcentral's name for it is "partial contains 5.8S ribosomal RNA, internal transcribed spacer 2, and large subunit ribosomal RNA". The stretch from base 1 to 120 matches the Rfam family "5.8S ribosomal RNA", at positions 35 to 154 of the family's 154-position model. The record is from RNAcentral.